UAGGGAAUCUUCGGCAAUGGACGAAAGUCUGACCGAGCAACGCCGCGUGAGUGAAGAAGGUUUUCGGAUCGUAAAACUCUGUUGUUAGAGAAGAACAAGGACGUUAGUAACUGAACGUCCCCUGACGGUAUCUAACCAGAAAGCCACGGCUAACUACGUGCCAGCAGCCGCGGUAAUACGUAGGUUGCAAGCGUUGUCCGGAUUUAUUGGGCGUAAAGCGAGCGCAGGCGGUUUCUUAAGUCUGAUGUGAAAGCCCCCGGCUCAACCGGGGAGGGGCAUUGGAAACUGGGAGACUUGAGUGCAGAAGAGGAGAGUGGAAUUCCAUGUGUAGCGGUGAAAUGCGUAGAUAUAUGGAGGAACACCAGUGGCGAAGGCGGCUCUCUGGUCUGUAACUGACGCUGAGGCUCGAAAGCGUGGGGAGCAAACAGG
Molecule: ribosomal RNA, 429 nt
Filed under: Gemmatimonadota bacterium
Lineage: Bacteria; Pseudomonadati; Gemmatimonadota
Description: Gemmatimonadetes bacterium partial 16S ribosomal RNA
Rfam family: Bacterial small subunit ribosomal RNA
Source: RNAcentral